Molecule: non-coding RNA, 45 nt
Filed under: Schistosoma mattheei
Lineage: Eukaryota; Metazoa; Platyhelminthes; Trematoda; Strigeidida; Schistosomatidae
Source: RNAcentral
AUCUAGCUGAUGAGUUCUAAAUAGGAUGAAACGCGCAUCCUGGAU